Molecule: small RNA, 446 nt
Filed under: Pongo abelii (Sumatran orangutan)
Lineage: Eukaryota; Metazoa; Chordata; Mammalia; Primates; Hominidae
Description: processed transcript
Source: RNAcentral
CUCAACCAAAUCCCAGGAGAUGAGAACCCUAUUUUCCUCCCUUCGGAUGCAAAAUACGACUGGCUUUUGGCCAAAAUCUGGGUGCGUUCCAGUGACUUCCACGUCCACCAGACCAUCACCCACCUUCUGCGAACACAUCUGGUGUCUGAGGUUUUUGGCAUUGCAAUGUACCGCCAGCUGCCUGCUGUGCACCCCAUUUUCAAGCUGCUGGUGGCACACGUGAGAUUCACCAUUGCAAUCAACACCAAGGCCCGUGAGCAGCUCAUCUGCGAGUGUGGCCUCUUUGACAAGGUGGGUGCCCUCCUACCCUACUUGUUGCCUGGAAGAGCCCAGCCUGGCUGCCUUCACUCCCUAUCUGAGAUCUAGAUGCCCUUUCAGGAGGCCUGGAAGGGUGAAGGCUGGAGUCUGCUCAGAGCACUGGCUCCAGCAUCCUCCUGAUGUCUGCA